CAGGAAACCAACAAAUCAAGUAAUCUCUCGAUAGAAAGCCAUUUAUAGGUCAUUUGAAAAUUGAAUCCAUAAUCUUUAAUAAAGCUUAUUUAUACCAACGAUGAAGCAAUCUCAAAUAAAUAAAACUGAAAGCAGUGAUAAAUUAGCUCCCUAGCCUUUAUAUGUUUAUUACAUUGUAAUCAUUCAAAUCCACUGAAGUCAAAUUUGUCUUACCAAUUUCCUAAAUUCAAUCCAGUGAGCUCCUGGUCCUUACACAAAGUCAAUUCAUAUUGUCAAGUGACAGCAAGAAAAAUCAAUAUUAUGCUGGUUUUUUUUUCCACCAUCCAGAGGGACAUUACUAAGUGUAAGUAAUAAUACAAGCUUUUACCAUCCACAAAUCUAUUAUUUAUAUGUAAAUUCUAGCCACAUGCUCUGAUACCCUUAAAAUGGCAAUGAAAUAAAAAGCUGACCCUGGGAAAUAUGUCAUACCCAGCAUGGUAGAAAAGAUCCCUAGGGCCUUAGUCAGGAAAUAAAGAGCUGUGCUAGAAUUUUAUUGAAAAAUCGUGAUGACAAAGCCCUUUCCAUUUAAAAACCAUAGUCCGUCAUUGUCAUCAAAUCAAUGGCUGAAAAUGAAUGGAGAGGGUCUCAUUUUGCUUUCUGCUUGGCACCCAGCAUUGGGUAAUGCACUCACAUCACCAGCUACAAAUCAGAUCAGGAGACGGCUCAGAAAUUUCCCUAGAAUGACGACAGGGUUCCUGUUCAGCAGAAGCCCAAGCCCGGCUGGAGCGUGCCUGAGGCUGCCGGCUCUAGACCUGCUUCUCACUGAUCCACUGUCAGUCUGUGGGAUGCAGGAUUCCCCUGCAGUCAGGCCGGCAGCCAGAAAAAGCCCAGUAUCUCCCUCCAUCGUUUCCUGCAGCCUCCACGCACCUGAGCAGAGGUGGAGAGGAUGAGGGGAGGAGCGACUUCAGACCACUGGCUCCUGAGCUGCACCCCUUCUACGUUCCCUGAGGGGAGUCCUCUGGAUGGUGGAGGAGGGGAGAGGCACCCUAUAGGCAAGGGUUCAGAGAGAGAGCUCCUGGCCACUGCUCAGUCUGUCCCCUCCCCCAGCAUUAAAUCAAGAAGGUGUUCCCAAAUUCACAGCACCGUUCUUCAUUGUGGGUGGAAUGAGGGGUACGAGCUCCCUUUCCUAAGCUCUGGUGGCCAAGGCCCUGUACAUGAUGAGGUUUAUGGAGGGUGGUUUACUCAGAACAUGAGGAAGCAGGGUGAAUCUGAUUGGCCCCAUUUUACAAAUGAGGAAACUGAGGCUAAGAAAGGUUAAGUGGUUCCCCCAAGUCACAGCCAGAAAAUGCGUGAGCUGGGAUUUGGGAGCUCCAGGCGGUGACUCUGGAGCUCACCCCCUCAGCCCGAGCAGGCUUCCUGCUAGCAGGUGGCGGGGAGGGAGCUGACUCACAGCUUUUGAUUCGUUCAGUUCUUUUCUGCAUUAGUGCUGUUACUUCAGCCUGAUGAACAGAUACUGCAGUUCCCAUCUCUCACUUUGCAAAAAACAGCCACAGGAGGCUGCUUGCCUGCAAGCCCAGGAGUCACAGCAUUUCCAGGUAACACACUGACACAGCAGCUUGUGGGUAAGUUAAAAGAGAAUGUUUGAGUCCCUAGAGAUCUUCUAAAUCAAGGAUUCUUAACCUGGAGUUCAAGGUAGACCUCAGGGGAAUCUGUAAAGCCCCAAAUUUGUAUAUACAAACAUUUUCCUAGGGCAGGGGUGCAGACCUUUCAUCAGAUUCGAAAAGAGGCUUUAAGCCCCAAAGCGCUAAGGACUGUGCAGGGUCUGGCCAACCAGGCCUCACACUCCCAGGCUCCUGUUGAUUCAUGAGGCAGCACAAUCUGUGAUGGAGAAAACCCAGAGCCAAACACCAGAAGCAGAAUCUGAGCUCUGAAUCUUCUGGCAAACAUUUU
RNAcentral lists this long non-coding RNA (1929 nucleotides) under Bos indicus x Bos taurus (hybrid cattle). Its description in RNAcentral is "lncRNA (ENSBIXG00005021380.1)". Lineage: Eukaryota; Metazoa; Chordata; Mammalia; Artiodactyla; Bovidae. The record is from RNAcentral.